This is a long non-coding RNA of Panthera uncia (snow leopard), 3540 nucleotides long. RefSeq lists it as uncharacterized. Lineage: Eukaryota; Metazoa; Chordata; Mammalia; Carnivora; Felidae. The transcript has 3 exons. The record is from RefSeq and is a predicted model, not a curated record.
ACGCUUAACCGACCGAGCCACCCAGGCACCUCUCCACACUUGCUUUAGAGGACAAUCCCUGGGGCAGGGCAGUGCACAAACGGUGGGAGACAGGGAGGCGCUUGCCAGAGCGGGCUGUGCAGAGGCCUGGGACCGAUGGCUAGAGGCAAGGUGGAGACAUGAGCUCCCGACUCAGUACAGUACAGGGAGUAUCUUAGAGCAGGCACCCUAAGGGUGUGUACGUUCCUAUGAACCUGCCCUGUGGCUCGAGUCUCAGGAGAAAGGAGAUCAGGCAAAGAGGCAAAAGGAAGGAGCUUAUGGCCAGUGUGUUUCUGCUGCCUACUGACUAGCUCCGGGCCCGUGCCGAGAGUUCUGUUCAUCUCUGUGCUCCACACCCCACUGAUGAAAUUUGCUAAGCGUGUCCAGUGUGCCAACCCCGUGCAAAAUGGAGACCACGAAUGAAGGUAGAGGACCCCAUUCUCUUGAUGACUUAGAGAUCUCAACAGGGCGGCUGUGUGAAAGGUGGCAAGCCAGCAGUUUCUACAAAAUGGUUCUGGGGUCCCGGGGUGACUGAUUCAAUCUGGUGGCGGCAGAAGGACUCCCAUACGGAAGGGGUUCUUGAACGCAAGUCCGUGGGCAUAAUGCAGGGUGAUCAUGAACCUGAGUGGGGAAAAAAAACUGUGCACCAGUCAUACUGGAAAUUAGUAUUUCCUUUGAUUAUGAAUGCAGGUGACCACAGUAGUAUCAUCAGAACCCGUGACUCUGUUAUUCAGGUAAAUCAUAGAUGUUUUUAUAUUGUAGUUGGUGUAGAUGUUUCAGAAUAUCACUUAUGCUCAUUACUUUUUGGAAAUUCCAGCAGUUGAUUCAUUCUUGAUAUUUAAUGUGUAAAAAGAAGCACAUCCUUGGUGUUUUAUUAUUUUUGAACAUUGUAUUCCGGUAUAAUUAGCCUUUAAAGUAACCCUGUGUGUUUUAUUUUAUGCUUUCACAACAUCAUUCCGAGUAAGAACCCAUAAGUAUCACCAGACUGACACAGGAGGCCAUUGAACAGAAAAGGUUACAAACUCUGAUUUAGAAGAUCUUUGCUAACCUGUAUCUUGAUUGAUAGGACCCUCGAGGACAGGGAUUUUUUCUUCUUCUUUUUCUUUUUCUUUUUUUCUUUUCUUUCUUUCUUUCUUUCUUUUUUUUUUUUUGUCAUCUCUCCACCUAGUGUGGGGCUCAAACUCACAACCCUGAGAUCAAGAGUCUCAUGCUCUUUGACUGAGCCAGCCAGGCGCCCCGACGACAGGGAUUUUUUUUUUCAUCAUUUCUUCUGUGAGGCCUACAGUGUUGCAUCAGUAAAGCUUUCACGCUCCAGAUUUUCUUUCAUAGAACACAGGUGUCCUGUGUUUGUGGCGUUUGCACCCUUCUGUAGGGCCCUGUGUCUCCCUGUGACACUUCUGCUCAGCCCUCCCCACAGAAACCUCUCAAAUUGUCCCCAGCCACCUGCAGCAUCCUUGGCUCUGUGGAUGGUGAGUCUCUCCAGAGCAGGGACUAUGCAUACAGUGACUCAGUCAGUGUCCGCUGAAUGAAUGAUGUCUACAGGGUAUGAACCGUUCUGGAGACCCAGAGCUUUGGGGCCCAGAAGAAAGGACUCCAUAAAGUCAAGUUCCCUCUUGAGCCCACGGGUCCGCGGAGUGCGGGAACCACCCAGGCUGGGGAGCAUGCAGGGGAAGGCAGGUCCUUCUGAGCCCAGGUAGCCAUCUGACAUUCCUUGUCAGAGCUUGGAGAACCUCAAGAAUGAAGAAAGCCCAGAUCUUCUGCUUCUCUGGCUUCGGAAGAUCAGAGGAUACAUAAAGUUGCUGCUGCUCUGGGAAAACCUGGGAGAGCUCUCCGUUCUCAAGCUUCAGCCCUUUCCCAGGAUGGGGAGGACAGGACAGUUUCAGAUCAAAGAUUUGAAAGGUCAGCUCUCACUGUUAGCCAGAUGGAGAGAUGGUGCGUUCACACCAUUGAAAGGGGCAUUUUUAGUCUUCUUGGAAGUUCUGCACACGUCUGCUCCAAUAUUUCCUACUCUUAAGAAUUCAUUCCAAAUCAGAGCGAGUAUUCAAAGACUGAUCAUUGCAACGUUGUUUGUAACAGCAAAAAAAAAGAAAAAACCGUGGGGUGGACUCCGUGUCCGUCCAUUGGAUUGAUGUUGGAUUGAUGGACUGUUAUCAUUUUGUUUCUUCUCACGUCCAGGUCCUGUGCCGCCGUCAAAUGUGGUCACAAGCGGAUGAAAAUAUCAGGACAUGAAAAGAUGCGCUCGCUCUCUCUCUCACAUACACACACACCGUAGAUCUGUGCAUACGUGUUAACUCAUUUUUCCUUUAGGUUGCAAGAAAAAGAAAUCAAAGCAGUUUGCAAAUUUUAAGUACGUGCUCUUUUCGGCGCAUGCAAAAUUAUUUUACAAAGCUUCCUUUUUUUACGAAAAGAUGUUAUGGAAAAAUUCGGAAGGUUUGAGUUACUUCCUUACUGUACACCUUAAUUGUAAAUGUUAUUGGGGAACUUCCUGCCACGAGGGCUGAAGAAAUUAACACGGUUCUGCUUCCCACCAGUUCCUGGUAUGAUACUGUCGUUACCGUCAUCACCUUCUGACGGUUGUCACCACCGAUUCCCACAGUGAGCUUGUGUCAGUUCUCUCCGUAGUGGUCCUUGUCCGCCACCCGUCUCUGGUUUCUGUAGUCCUGGCUUCACUGACUUGCCUGUUGGCUGGCUCAGCGUCAUUCCACGAUUUGCUUUUCCCAAAGAAGACUUGCGGAUGCUGUCUCCGCUGACCGUUUCUGUGCUGAACAAUGUCUGUGCCUUUAGGCGAAUGGAAUUUGCGGAUGGCACAUUGCCGAAGCUGAAGAGUCUUCAUUCAUACUUUCGGAACUGGCAUUAAGUCUCAUGCUGGUCUUUCUCUCCCUUCUCCAUUCACCUUCUGGUGAGCAAAGCUUAUGCUUAUUUAUUAGUUAGUUUAGCGCUUUUUCUCAGAAAGGUCUGUUGUGUUUAUACAUGGCAUCUUGGCUGAGCGUCAUUUUCAAGGAUCACACGUUUAUUGCCUUUGCUCUGCGAUCUUGUGGCGUUAAUUCUCUCUCUGCCUGGAUGUCUGUCUGCCGUUACUGUCAUUUUAUUCAUGUGGUCCUGCCAGAACUCCCAUUACUGAAGGUGUAACUUCCAGAUCUAUCUUCCCUGUUCUUAAACUUCUCUUCUUCGGAAUUUUCUGUCACCUUCCAGGAGGCUGCUCUGUUUUCCAGUUCACCGGCUUGUGCUUCAGUGAUGUUCAUUCUGCUGGUUGGCUUGUCUCUUGAGGUUUUAUUUUCCCCGAAUCGUAGGAGUGGGUUUUUUUGGUCACACUUGUAAAAAUUCUGAUUAAUUUUCUUUUUGGCAAGUUCUCCCCCCCAGGCUAUAUAUCAGUACUAAACAUUUUUGCUAAUCUGAUGGAGGAGGGUAUGUGGCCAAGACGUAUGUAUUUUGUAGUUCCUCACACAUUAGGUGCAUGAUAAGCAUCUUUCAUAUAUAUAUUUGCUGUUAUGUUUUCUCACCUAUAAAUUGCUUAUGAAAUGC